CCCUUAGAUGUUCUGGGCUGUACGCGCGCUACACUGGUGCGUUCAGCGAGUUUAGCACCUUAACAGAUAUGUUUGGGUAAUCUUCUGAAAACGCACCGUGAUGGGGAUCGAUUAUUGUAAUUAUUAAUCGUCAACGAGGAAUUCCUAGUAAGUGUGAAUCAUCAGUUCGCGCUGAUUACGUCCCUGCCCUUUGUACACACCGCCCGUCGCUGCUACCGAUUGAGUGGUCCGGUGAAUUAUUCGGACCGGUGGACUGUGGGGUAACUCGCGGUCUGCUGGGAAGUCUUGUGAACCUUAUCACUUAGAGGAAGCAGAAGUCGUAACA
This 325-nucleotide ribosomal RNA is filed under the name uncultured eukaryote. Its description in RNAcentral is "partial 18S ribosomal RNA". It matches the Rfam family "Eukaryotic small subunit ribosomal RNA", at positions 1470 to 1796 of the family's 1831-position model. The record is from RNAcentral.